CCCUUAGAUGUUCUGGGCCGCACGCGCGCUACACUGAUGCAUUCAACGAGUCUAAAACCUGCUCUGAUAGGGGUGGGUAAUCUUUUGAAUGUGCAUCGUGAUUGGGAUAGAUGAUUCAAUUUUUCAUCUUCAACGAGGAAUGCCUAGUAAACGCAAGUCAUCAGCUUGCAUUGAUUACGUCCCUGCCCUUUGUACACACCGCCCGUCGCUCCUACCGAUUGAAUGAUCCGAUGAAUAUCAUGGAUUGAGGAUGCAAGCAGGUUCGCCUGUCUUCAUCUUCGAGAAGUGAAGUAAAUCUUAUCAUUUAGAGGAAGGAGAAGUCGUAACA
Molecule: ribosomal RNA, 328 nt
Filed under: uncultured eukaryote
Lineage: Eukaryota
Description: partial 18S ribosomal RNA
Rfam family: Eukaryotic small subunit ribosomal RNA
Source: RNAcentral